Non-coding RNA from Phascolarctos cinereus (koala), 1207 nucleotides. The record is from RefSeq and is a predicted model, not a curated record. NCBI's taxonomy places the organism in Eukaryota, Metazoa, Chordata, Mammalia, Diprotodontia, Phascolarctidae.
AAGUGGGGAAGUUUUCCUUAACACCUUGGUACGACUCUGUUGUUUCUCUUUUGCAUUAUUUUAGCGCUGCUAUAGACUUAAGCUACCAAUGGUACAGAAGAGCAUCGGAUUUGGGAAAAGUUCCAGCUCUACAACUUACCCUACUACUUGUGUGACUGAACAAAUUUCACAUAACUUCUCUUGGCCUCAGUUGCUUCCCUCUGUGGACCUCAAAGGACUGUGAGAAAAGUAAAAAUGUAUUCAGUCAGUUCAGCAACAGUUAUUAAAUGAUUAUGUGCCAGGUACAGUGGUAGGGCAGUAACAAAAGAGGUAAAAGGCCCUGUUCUCAAGAAGUUUAAAAUGUAAUUGGGAGAAAGGGGUUAGGAGGAAGAAAACAAGUACUCACUGGUCCCUGCCACCAUCGUGUAGGGAACGAAAUUCUUUAUAGAACAGACUAGAAGUAAUCCCCAAGAAUUACCAGCUGCCACAUAUGUGGCAGACAAGCCAAUCUAGCUGAAGCAGCAAGGCACUACUACCAUAUCGUUUCAGAUUUCACAGGCAAUAGCCCAGGACACUAAACCUAAGAGCCCUGGGAAUAGUAGUGGCCAAACAUUAUCCAUAACUCUCACAGAGUGGAAAAGUCAUAGUAAAGAAGAGUCUCCCUUGCUUUACCAUCACCAACACCAAUUGAUGACUACCUGCCAUCAUCAAGCAGGGAAGCCCUGGAGUUCUAGGAAUGGCAACACUUCCCAGACCCCCAGUCCUGCUUCCAAUACAAUCCCCACAGUCAUAAUCCUGGGAAGUGUGAUUUAUAAAAAGUUGGAGAGACAUAGUUUCUGGAAGCAACCUCUGGAGCUACAACCCAGCAGCUGUUUCUGUGCAUGCUCCUGCCCCUGCUUCCCCUGCAGCCACAGCUACUGAAAAACUAGAAAAAAAGUUCACACCACCAAAGACACCAUAGCAUUGUCAAAUGGUUCACCAUAAGAAAAGGACAUGGUUGUCAAUAGAAAUGGUAUCGAAGAAAAUGCAUUGCCAUCUUCUUUGCCACUGCACCCAAAGAGUCAUGGAGCCUUUCCAUCUGACUAUUAAACUGAAACUUCUUUGUGUUGUCUCCUUUAGACUGUGAGUUGCUUAAGAGAAAAAAUUGUCUUGAUUUUCUGUUUGUAUCCUCAGUGCUUAGCACAGUGUUUUACAAUUAGUAAGUGCUUAAUAAAUGGUUUGUCAGUCA